AUGGGAGGAUUGCCCCGUUGGAUCAAGGAGCUUCACAAACUUGCAAAGUUAACUCUGCGUGACACUUACUUGGGAGAAGAAGAUAUAAAUUCCCUUGGCAAACUUAGUGGGUUACGCAGUCUCAGGCUGCGUCACAAGUCAUAUGUCCAAACCAAGUUUACCUUUCAGGAAGACGAAUUCAAAAAUCUUGAGUUCAUAAGCAUCGAAGGAUCAGACAUUACUGACAUCCACUUCAACAGCACCCCUAAGCUUGAGAAGAUAGUUUGGGACUUCAAAGAGAUGAACUCAAUUCAUGGAAUCAGCCACCUUCCACGCCUCAGCCGUCUUGAGCUUAUUGGCAACUGCAACCCAACUACUAUCAAAGCAGAUCUUUCGAAACAUCCAAACAAACCUGUGGUAACUCACAACGGACAGUGCUGA
This 420-nucleotide ribosomal RNA is filed under the name Triticum aestivum (bread wheat). Its description in RNAcentral is "partial small subunit ribosomal RNA". The record is from RNAcentral. Lineage: Eukaryota; Viridiplantae; Streptophyta; Magnoliopsida; Poales; Poaceae.